RNAcentral lists this ribosomal RNA (563 nucleotides) under Trichoderma sp. PPRI 14673. Its description in RNAcentral is "eukaryotic LSU rRNA". Lineage: Eukaryota; Fungi; Ascomycota; Sordariomycetes; Hypocreales; Hypocreaceae. The record is from RNAcentral.
CUCCCAACCCAAUGUGAACCAUACCAAACUGUUGCCUCGGCGGGGUCACGCCCCGGGUGCGUCKCAGCCCCGGAACCAGGCGCCCGCCGGAGGGACCAACCAAACUCUUUUCUGUAGUCCCCUCGCGGACGUUAUUUCUUACAGCUCUGAGCAAAAAUUCAAAAUGAAUCAAAACUUUCAACAACGGAUCUCUUGGUUCUGGCAUCGAUGAAGAACGCAGCGAAAUGCGAUAAGUAAUGUGAAUUGCAGAAUUCAGUGAAUCAUCGAAUCUUUGAACGCACAUUGCGCCCGCCAGUAUUCUGGCGGGCAUGCCUGUCCGAGCGUCAUUUCAACCCUCGAACCCCUCCGGGGGGUCGGCGUUGGGGAUCGGGAACCCCUAAGACGGGAUCCCGGCCCCGAAAUACAGUGGCGGUCUCGCCGCAGCCUCUCCUGCGCAGUAGUUUGCACAACUCGCACCGGGAGCGCGGCGCGUCCACGUCCGUAAAACACCCAACUUCUGAAAUGUUGACCUCGGAUCAGGUAGGAAUACCCGCUGAACUUAAGCAUAUCAAUAAGCGRARGAA